CCAGACUCCUACGGGAGGCAGCAGUGAGGAAUAUUGGUCAAUGGCCGAGAGGCUGAACCAGCCAAGUCGCGUGAGGGAAGACGGCCCUACGGGUUGUAAACCUCUUUUGUCGGGGAGCAAAGCGAACCACGUGUGGUUCAUUGAGAGUACCCGAAGAAAAAGCAUCGGCUAACUCCGUGCCAGCAGCCGCGGUAAUACGGAGGGUGCGAGCGUUAAUCGGAAUUACUGGGCGUAAAGCGCACGUAGGCUGUAUGACAAGUCAAGGGUGAAAUGCCACGGCUCAACCGUGGAACUGCCUUUGAAACUGUCAAACUGGAGUAUGUGAGAGGGCGGCGGAAUUCCUGGUGUAGGAGUGAAAUCCGUAGAUAUCAGGAGGAACAUCAGUGGCGAAGGCGGCCGCCUGGCACAAAACUGACGCUGAGGUGCGAAAGCGUGGGUAGCAAACAGGAUUAGAUACCCUAGUAU
This 465-nucleotide ribosomal RNA is filed under the name uncultured bacterium. Its description in RNAcentral is "bacterial SSU rRNA". It matches the Rfam family "Bacterial small subunit ribosomal RNA", at positions 331 to 793 of the family's 1533-position model. The record is from RNAcentral.